UAUUAGAAAGCGAAUUAUUGCACUUAGUUUCGACCUAAAUUUUGGCCAAACAGGCCUCUAAUUU
Molecule: transfer RNA, 64 nt
Filed under: Jonas distinctus
Lineage: Eukaryota; Metazoa; Arthropoda; Malacostraca; Decapoda; Corystidae
Description: tRNA-Arg
Source: RNAcentral